UAUAAAAAGCAGCAUAUGUAGGAUGAUCCUCUUAUUAUGGGGAAGAAAUAUUUCCCUCUGUAAGUACACACACACACACACACACACACACACACGGAAAGGCCCUAAAAUUCAAGGAGUGAUUAUCUCAGACUGUUGGGAUUUCCUGCAGAUUUUUUCUUUGUGUUUUUCUGUAUUUUCCAAGCUUUUUGUAGUCAUGUAAAAACACUUUUGUUCACAGAAAGCUUGGACCGCCCUGUGAGAUGCACUGGCCUCGUAGACACGGCUUUCUCCCGCGGAAAGACCUGCCGCAGCCCCGCCCAGGGCCCGGACCCUAGGUGGCCAGGUCUUAAUAUGGCGGCUUAGUGUUUCAGUAUUGGAGAGAUGUAGGAGGGCAUUCUGAUUGGAAAGGAGAAAUUGAAGUUAUACUUAAAACAAAAUUGUGACAAUGUCAAUCGUCCACAUAAAAGAAUGGGGGGAGGGGGAAGGGCUGGAACUUCCAGUCCUUUCCCUGGGGUCGGCCAUUACACUUUCCUGCACGCUCCUGCCUCAUCUCCGCUCCCAGCACAGAUGAUUGGACCGAGGGUGGUCAGCUGACCCGAGUGCAGCCAAUCCGUGGGCCAGCUUGUGCCCUAUGCAAAGAAGAUGGCUGGGCCGUCAGAUUCCUAUUCUGUCAGAUUUGAACUGGGAAACGAGGCAAGAACGAGGUAGCUGGCAGUGGGAACAGUGGAUGAAAGGACCUAAGGAGAGCUAGCCAGAGCAGGGUAAAGGCCUCGAGGAGUUACAUAGGGUGCUCAUUAUGAGAAAGUAGACAUAAUAAUUAAAAUGAAGAGUCAAAAGACGGGAAAAAGCAGACCUGUGGGGUUUAGAAAGGUAGAGACGAGAGGAACGGAGAAGCCAAGCGGUAACAAGCGCGAGGGAACGCGAAAGAGCAGAGCUGCCGCGGUUCUUGGUUUGAGCUCCCUGGAAACAGGCUCUGAGACAACGAUUCGAGCGCAAGUGGUUGAUCUGGGAAGUGGUCCCAGGAAACCGCAGGAGUGGGGCGGUGCUACGGGAAGAGCAGGCGGCCAUAACCGGGACUGGCACUCGCCUCAGGGGGAAGCAGUAGUACGCACACCUCGGAACUACCCUGGCCAACAGAUAAAGAAACCAAGAAACAGAGAUGAUAAGUAACUCGCCUAACAUGAACAGCUGUGAAUGAGAACACUUGGAUUUGCAUCCAGGCAGUCUAGCUCAGAGGCCUUGCUCUUGCCGUCUGUCUUGCUAUGCCACCUUCCCACCCACUGGUCCUGAGCCCAAAAGCUUUAAGAAUGAUUGGUAUAAAGGAUGCUGCUGCUUUUACAAGCCCCAGAAGAUAAUCUGUGAAAAAUGUUGUAUGAUCAAAUACAUUUGGGAAAUGUGAUGCCUCUCUUGGAAACCAUCAAAUUAGAAGCAAAUAAACCUAAUCAACUUCAACUCUGCUUCCUAAAUGUAUCAGACCAAGAUCCCUCUUCCAAGUGCUGCUGUCAUUAUCCUGGGACACAGCUGGGAAACCCAGAGAUGAACAGCAAGACCUCCGUCAAUCCUCCUGAAUGGCACCUCUCACAACCUGGCAUCUGUCAAGUGAUGGCAGCAGAGUCUGAAGUUACAUCUCUGACUACAUGAAGAGUGAUCCCUUUAUAAAUGACAAGGCAGGACUGAGCACGAUAGAGAACCCCUUUAUCUCUGCAAAGAGGUGAACUGAGGGCAUGACUAAGAUCCCCCUUCAGGAGACAAAUCUGGGUCUGUUCCAUCAAAGACAGUCAUUGAGGCCCCAGAAAUCACAGUCAUUUUAGCCUGGACAUCUUCCAAAGCAGAUGGUACCUCGCGCUUGCCUCGGUCAUAAAGAAAUCUCAAUUAAGCUCCCACAAAAUGUUUGAUUUUAAGUUAUGUAACUUCCUGGUGACCCCUCCAAGGAAAUUAGUGGUCAAAUUGUACUCCUAAUGAGCCAACUUCCUUUACCUGGUUGUAAACUAGAAGUCAAUUAAAUGUUACGGAAUGCCUACCAAAAUGACGACUCUGGUUUUGAACUAUCGAUCUUAUUUCUUUUUGACAGUAAUUACUUAAUUGGGCCAGUUGUCUGUGAAGAAAACUCCAAGUUCACAAUAAUAGAAUUGUGUCAUCAGGCAGCUUAUCAAGAACCUACAGUAAUAGGCAAGGCACUCUUGGUGUAAAAAUGAAAACUAUGUGCCUCUUCAAAAGCAUAUAAUCUAGUAAAGGGCCAGACAGAGCAAGGAAAGAAGAAACAAGGAAGGGAAGAGAGAGUAGAGUGGGUAGGAAGGGAGAAAGGAAGGAGGACAGGUCA
Molecule: non-coding RNA, 2302 nt
Organism: Microcebus murinus (gray mouse lemur)
Lineage: Eukaryota; Metazoa; Chordata; Mammalia; Primates; Cheirogaleidae
Source: RefSeq, a predicted model, not a curated record